UCAAAAAAGGACUACAACAGGCAAGUUCACCUUUUGAUCGUAGUUUUUGUCCUUUUAUUUCUCAGCACAGUUACUCGUUUUCUUGGAAACUUGUGGCUACAUUCGAGAUAUUUACAAAUAAAACAUUCUUUAUGGUCAAUUGUUGGUUUUUUUCUAUCUUACCUUCUCUUAUUUGAGAUUAUUUCUUUUGUUACAGGCUCGAACAUUAUAGCUUGGAACGAAAAAAAGAAAUUCAAUUUGAAAAUGUGGACUUUAAUAGGCAAGUUCUCCUUUGUUUACAGUUUUUUGUCUUUUUAUUUCCAAGCAUAGUUUCGCAUUUUAAUAGGUACUAAUAGGUAGCAACAAUUGAAAUAGGUACUAAUGCAACAUUCUUUAUGGUCGAUUGUUGGAAAUUUUUGCCCUUUAUUCUCCUUUUAAAAACUAGUUUCUCUAGUUUUAAAAUGUUCUAUUUUCUCUUUUAGGUUUGGUUUCGAUCGUGCAAAAUUUUUCCUUUGCUAAACUUUCCAUGUUCUAAAGUUUCCGCUUUUCAGAACCUUGGAUAAUCUUUUGUAUAGCUUUUUUUUGCUUCAGAAAAUGAACAGAAUAACAAUUUCAAAGCAUGGGCUAUGACAGGCAAGUUCUUCUUUCUUCACAGUUUUUGUCUUUUGAUUUUCUUAGCAUAGUUUUUUUUUAAUUAUUUGAGACUGAUGGAAGGCUUUGAAAUAACUACCAAUGCGACAUUCUUACUGAUCGAUUGCUGCAAUUUUUUGUCCUCUAUAUUUCUUUAGGUUCUUAUCACGUUUCUCUUAUUUUGAGAAAUUUGCUUUUUCCUCCAGGUUUGGCCUUGAUUUAUCUAAGGUUUAGCCUAAGAAGGAUAGAAAGGAAUGAUUCUCUGAUAAUAUAAAGUAUAACAGACCCAAUUUAUGCAUUGAAUAAGGCGAAGAAAGACAGACUUGGGUUUUAAAGCAAGUGGAACUGUGGCUACGAAUCUUCAAAUUCUGGACUUUCCUGCACUGAAGUCGAACAAAAAAAAUUGAAAGUUCCCUGACAGAUUGUAAGUAUUUUUGAUUACGUUACUUUCUAGCCAUAUUUUCAAUAAAUAUUUUCACUAAAAAAACUUAAAACUUUUUAAAAGGUUUGAAAAAUUAUGUUUGAAAAUUCGAAAUCUAUUUCAGCAUGCCGAAGUUUUCAUAAAAACUGCUGGGGAAACAAAACUCAGCUAGGUAGAAUAAAAGUGAAUAAUGCAAAAAAUACAGAAAGUUCCAUAAAUUUAUGCAAUUAAUUAAUUAUUGCUUAUUGUAUGAAGAUGAAAGGAAAUACUCUGUGAAAAAGACAAAGCUUAGGUUCAGUCAUUUAAGGUCGGGAGUAAAGAAACAGCAAAAAAGCUUGCAAUAUAUAAAAAGGUUUGAGACAAAUAUAAUGCAAUCCGAUAAACAUGUUUCAAUAAAAAGAGUGCACCCCUCGAUUUUUUAAGUAUACCUGCAGAUACUUCAGUCUUUACUUUUCUGGUUAUUGAUUGGAGAUUCUGAGGUUUGAAAGGUUGGGUUGAUUUUUUGGUUGGUUUGGAAUUUGGAUGUUGGUGGUGGUUUGGGAGGGCUGAUGGAAUGUUUGGAGGUUGGUUUAGGUGUUAAAGGCCAAGACUGGGAUAGUAAAGACUGUUUAACUGCGAGGAAGAAACUAAAACAUUUGAUGUCAAAAAGUCAAAAAGUAUUUCAGAGAAAAUUAUUUCUAACAUUGAUGCGGGGUAGCAAUAUUUGAUUUUAAUAUAAUAAUGCAGAUU
Molecule: non-coding RNA, 1759 nt
Organism: Rhopilema esculentum
Lineage: Eukaryota; Metazoa; Cnidaria; Scyphozoa; Rhizostomeae; Rhizostomatidae
Source: RefSeq, a predicted model, not a curated record